ACUCCUACGGGAGGCAGCAGUGAGGAAUAUUGGACAAUGGGUGGAAGCCUGAUCCAGCCAUCCCGCGUGCAGGAAGACGGCCCUAUGGGUUGUAAACUGCUUUUAUCUGGGGAUAAACCUACUUACGUGUAAGUAGCUGAAGGUACCAGAAGAAUAAGCACCGGCUAACUCCGUGCCAGCAGCCGCGGUAAUACGGAGGGUGCAAGCGUUAUCCGGAUUUAUUGGGUUUAAAGGGUCCGUAGGCGGACUGAUAAGUCAGUGGUGAAAUCCGACAGCUUAACUGUCGAACUGCCAUUGAUACUGUUAGUCUUGAGUAAGGUUGAAGUGGCUGGAAUAAGUAGUGUAGUGGUGAAAUGCAUAGAUAUUACUUAGAACACCAAUUGCGAAGGCAGGUCACUAAGUCUUAACUGACGCUGAUGGACGAAAGCGUAGGGAGCGAACAGGAUUAGAUACCCCUGUAGUCCCAUG
RNAcentral lists this ribosomal RNA (468 nucleotides) under uncultured organism. RNAcentral describes it as "partial 16S ribosomal RNA". It matches the Rfam family "Bacterial small subunit ribosomal RNA", at positions 335 to 799 of the family's 1533-position model. The record is from RNAcentral.